RNAcentral lists this non-coding RNA (23 nucleotides) under Arabidopsis thaliana (thale cress). The record is from RNAcentral. Lineage: Eukaryota; Viridiplantae; Streptophyta; Magnoliopsida; Brassicales; Brassicaceae.
CUGUCGACCAAACCCGUCCUACC